Molecule: non-coding RNA, 26 nt
Filed under: Homo sapiens (human)
Lineage: Eukaryota; Metazoa; Chordata; Mammalia; Primates; Hominidae
Source: RNAcentral
UCAGAUUUUUAGGGUUCAUAGAGGGU